UCUCUGUGAUGAUCAACAAUUGAUGACGAGUCUGAAUUUUCCAUUCUUAACCCUGAUGACAUAACGAGGCAUUUGUCUGAGAGGA
Small nucleolar RNA from Vicia villosa (hairy vetch), 85 nucleotides. The record is from RefSeq and is a predicted model, not a curated record. Lineage: Eukaryota; Viridiplantae; Streptophyta; Magnoliopsida; Fabales; Fabaceae.